AUUGAACGCUGGCGGCAUGCUUUACACAUGCAAGUCGAACGGCAGCGCGGGGCAACCUGGCGGCGAGUGGCGAACGGGUGAGUAAUACAUCGGAACAUACCCUAGAGUGGGGGAUAACGUAGCGAAAGUUACGCUAAUACCGCAUACGCACUAAGGUGGAAAGUGGGGGAUUCGCAAGAACCUCAUGCUCAUGGAGUGGCCGAUAUCUGAUUAGCUAGUUGGUGAGGUAAAGGCUCACCAAGGCGACGAUCAGUAGCUGGUUUGAGAGAACGACCAGCCACACUGGAACUGAGACACGGUCCAGACUCCUACGGGAGGCAGCAGUGGGGAAUUUUGGACAAUGGGGGGCAACCCUGAUCCAGCAAUGCCGCGUGAGUGAAGAAGGCCUUCGGGUUGU
Molecule: ribosomal RNA, 397 nt
Filed under: uncultured bacterium
Lineage: Bacteria
Description: bacterial SSU rRNA
Rfam family: Bacterial small subunit ribosomal RNA
Source: RNAcentral